AAGGGGGUGAAAAGCCCCCUCGCCGAAAGCGCAAGGUUUCCUACGCAACGUUCAUCGGCGUAGGGUGAGUCGGCCCCUAAGGCGAGGCAGAGAUGCGUAGCUGAUGGGAAACAGGUUAAUAUUCCUGUACCGAUCUAUAGUGCGAUGUGGGGACGGAGAAGGUUAGCUCAGCCAACUGUUGGAUAUGUUGGUUCAAGCAUGUAGGCGUGCUCUUUAGGCAAAUCCGGAGAGCUUAGCUGAGGUGUGAUAACGAGUCUGCUUGCAGACGAAGUGAGUGAUACCCUGCUUCCAGGAAAAGCCACUAAGCUUCAGCUAUAGAUUGACCGUACCGCAAACCGACACUGGUGCGCGAGAUGAGUAUUCUAAGGCGCUUGAGAGAACUCUGGAGAAGGAACUCGGCAAAUUGACACCGUAACUUCGGAAGAAGGUGUGCCUUUAGUAGGUGAACCAUUUACUUGGGGAGCCCAAUGAGGUCGCAGAGAAUCGGUGGCUGCAACUGUUUAAUAAAAACACAGCACUCUGCAAAGACGAAAGUCGACGUAUAGGGUGUGACGCCUGCCCGGUGCUGGAAGAUUAAUUGAUGGGGUGCAAGCUCUUGAUCGAAGUCCCAGUAAACGGCGGCCGUAACAAUAACGGUCCUAAGGUAGCGAAAUUCCUUGUCGGGUAAGUUCCGACCUGCACGAAUGGCGUAAUGAUGGCCACACUGUCUCCUCCAGAGACUCAGCGAAAUUGAAAUGUUUGUGAUGAUGCAAUCUCCCCGCGGAAAGACGGAAAGACCCCAUGAACCUUUACUGUAGCUUUACAUUGGACUUUGAACAGAUCUGUGUAGGAUAGGUGGGAGGCUUUGAAGCCAGGACUCUAGUUCUGGUGGAGCCAACGUUGAAAUACCACCCUGGUGUGUUUGAAGUUCUAACCUUGGCCCGUUAUCCGGGUUGGGGACAGUGUAUGGUGGGCAGUUUGACUGGGGCGGUCUCCUCCCAAAGUGUAACGGAGGAGUUCGAAGGUACGCUAGAUACGGUCAAAAAUCGUGUUGAUAGUGCAUUGGCAUAAGCGUGCUUGACUGCGAGACUGACAAGUCGAGCAGGUACGAAAGUAGGACAAAGUGAUCCGGUGGUUCUGUAUGGAAGGGCCAUCGCUCAACGGAUAAAAGGUACUCUGGGGAUAACAGGCUGAUACCGCCCAAGAGUUCAUAUCGACGGCGGUGUUUGGCACCUCGAUGUCGGCUCAUCUCAUCCUGGGGCUGUAGCCGGUCCCAAGGGUAUGGCUGUUCGCCAUUUAAAGAGGUACGUGAGCUGGGUUUAAAACGUCGUGAGACAGUUUGGUCCCUAUCUUCCGUGGGCGCUGCAAGAUUGAGAGAGCCUGCUCCUAGUACGAGAGGACCGGAGUGGACACACCUCUGGUGUAUCGGUUGUCACGCCAGUGGCAUUGCCGAGUAGCUAAGUGUGGAAGAGAUAACCGCUGAAAGCAUCUAAGCGGGAAACUCGUCUCAAGAUGAGUCUUGCCGGGGCCUUGAGCCCCCUGAAGAGUCGUUCAAGACCAGGACGUUGAUAGGUUGGGUGUGGAAGCGCAGUAAUGCGUUAAGCUAACCAAUACUAAUUGCUCGUGAGGCUUGACC
This 1615-nucleotide ribosomal RNA is filed under the name metagenome. RNAcentral describes it as "bacterial LSU rRNA". It matches the Rfam family "Bacterial large subunit ribosomal RNA", at positions 1315 to 2925 of the family's 2925-position model. The record is from RNAcentral.